This 335-nucleotide ribosomal RNA is filed under the name Protodrilus sp. 5 KW168. RNAcentral describes it as "partial 16S ribosomal RNA". It matches the Rfam family "Bacterial large subunit ribosomal RNA", at positions 1950 to 2524 of the family's 2925-position model. Lineage: Eukaryota; Metazoa; Annelida; Polychaeta; Protodrilidae. The record is from RNAcentral.
GCAAAGGUAGCAUAAUCAUUUGCCCUUUAAUUGGGGGCUAGUAUGAAUGGAUUAACCUUGUUAACCUGCCUCAUCAUAAAACUUGAAAAUUUAUAUUAAGGUGCAGACGCCUUAAUUCAACCGAAGGACCAAAAGACCCUAUAGAGCUCUGUGUCCCAAAUCAACCCUCUCUGAGUUAGGGGCACUUCGUUGGGGCGACGAGAACUUAUAACCACUUAUAAAGUUUAAUGCUAACAAGCUUUACAUAAACCCUCAACAGAGAAUCAGAAAAAGCUACCUUAGGGAUAACAGUCUAAUUUUCUUUAAUAGUUCACAUAUACAAGAAAGCUUGGCAC